This 434-nucleotide unclassified non-coding RNA is filed under the name Hevea brasiliensis (rubber tree). The record is from RNAcentral. Lineage: Eukaryota; Viridiplantae; Streptophyta; Magnoliopsida; Malpighiales; Euphorbiaceae.
ACAAUGAAUCUCCAGAAAAGGAAUCGAAAAUGCCAUUGCCCUUUAGACAGGAGAGACAGAAAAAAGGGAAGCCAUAUGUAGCUCAGGAAUGCUUCUUUCUGACCUCUAUCCUUGCUAUAAUUAUGGGAUAUUAGAGCCUGAGCUCAUAGCAGAAUCCUUUGACUCUACAGACGAGUUACAUCUACACCAUUGUUUUCUUCCUGCAAUAUUUGUCUGUGCAUGUUGUAGCAGCUAUGACGAAAACAUUACUGUAAAUUUCCCUUCUACAUCCAUCACUCUCAAUGCCACUGAAGUAAGCUUCCCUCCUCUAGAAGCAAUAAAAUUAAGACUGGAAAAAAUGUUGCUACCUUGGUCAGUGUAUUUCCCCGUUAACUCUAUUAAUCAGGCCAAAAUUCUACAUACCCAAUGUUUCGUUCUUGAGUUUGAUGCAAUAA